AAUUUGACAUACAGGUAUAUGAUAUGAAUCUGGAUAUCAGGGGUUUAAGCUAAAACUCGUGUAGGUUUAUCUAUUUUACGUUUGUAAUGUUGGUUGGAUCAAUAUAGACAUUAUGCUAACCAAAUGGUUAGGAUCCUUUUACACUAAUUCAUAUGCAAAUGUUUAGGGAAAGGCAACCAAAUACAUGGCGCACAGUUGGUGAUCAGUAAUGGAAACACUAGUAGAAAACCUAUACACAACAUAGAACUGCUUAAUCUCAUCUUCCUUCUAGUUUUAGCUCUGGUGCAUCCAUCACAUGAAAAGGUGGACAGGCAGCCAAAUACAUUUGCACCUGAAGAUUUUCCUUCUCAUAUUUUUUUACACAAAUACCAACAGCAGUUGGCAUUUAGAGGUACCUUAUUAGCAGCAGCAAUAUGCUAUCCUUCUCUUGAGCUAGUUCCAGGUAGGCUGAUGCUCUGGUUUUUCAUUUGGUUUGUUCUUUGCUGGCCUUUCAGGUGUAUCCCCUAAGUAAGUCCCAUCUUGCUGAUGCACUUGAGUAUUCUUACCAUUUGGUAUGAAGGGCUCCUAAAAGGCAUGUUAGAUAUUCACAAUUAUUCAACAUUCAAAAUACAUGCAUGCAUAUACAUCUGUAUGUGGGGUCUGGCUGCAGGCAUUUUGCUUGUGCAUGCACAUAAGCACAUGUUCUAGCAUGAGCUUGAUGCAUUCAGUGCUGCAGAUAAAAAAGACAACGAUAGUUCUUCUGUUAUUAAGCUAGGUGAAGAUUUAAAUAUUUCAGGGUCACAUUAAAGGUUUAUAGAUAGCAUAUUGUAAUUAUAUAACUUCGUCAUAUCAGCAUUCUAUAGUUUCUUGUGUGUGCGCUUGCAUUGUUUGCGUUUUACUUUUAGUUAUCAUCUACAAUUUCUCCUCUCCCCUCCACCCCUCUUUGUACUGAUUUCA
Molecule: long non-coding RNA, 936 nt
Filed under: Phoenix dactylifera (date palm)
Lineage: Eukaryota; Viridiplantae; Streptophyta; Magnoliopsida; Arecales; Arecaceae
Description: long non-coding RNA (PDAC_LNC016597)
Source: RNAcentral